CUCAUUUCUUAUCAGGGUCUGCUACAUAAGCAGUUGGGCCCAUACCCCAAAAACGGUAAUAUGUACC
RNAcentral lists this transfer RNA (67 nucleotides) under Diploderma flaviceps. RNAcentral's name for it is "tRNA-Met". The record is from RNAcentral. Lineage: Eukaryota; Metazoa; Chordata; Lepidosauria; Squamata; Agamidae.